This 71-nucleotide transfer RNA is filed under the name [Eubacterium] siraeum. It matches the Rfam family "tRNA". Rfam says of the family: Transfer RNA (tRNA) molecules are approximately 80 nucleotides in length. Their secondary structure includes four short double-helical elements and three loops (D, anti-codon, and T loops). Further hydrogen bonds mediate the characteristic L-shaped molecular structure. tRNAs have two regions of fundamental functional importance: the anti-codon, which is responsible for specific mRNA codon recognition, and the 3' end, to which the tRNAs corresponding amino acid is attached (by aminoacyl-tRNA synthetases). tRNAs cope with the degeneracy of the genetic code in two manners: having more than one tRNA (with a specific anti-codon) for a particular amino acid; and 'wobble' base-pairing, i.e. permitting non-standard base-pairing at the 3rd anti-codon position. Lineage: Bacteria; Bacillati; Bacillota; Clostridia; Eubacteriales; Oscillospiraceae. The record is from RNAcentral. RNAcentral also lists the same sequence under 15 other names.
GGGGUGUAGCUCAGCUGGGAGAGCACCUGCCUUGCAAGCAGGGGGUCAGGAGUUCGAUUCUCCUCAUCUCC